AACGAACGCUGGCGGCAUGCCUAACACAUGCAAGUCGAACGAGACCUUCGGGUCUAGUGGCGCACGGGUGCGUAACGCGUGGGAGCCUGCCCUUAGGUUCGGAAUAACUCCCCGAAAGGGGUGCUAAUACCGGAUAAUGUCUUCGGACCAAAGAUUUAUCGCCUUUGGAUGGGCCCGCGUUGGAUUAGCUAGUUGGUAGGGUAAAAGCCUACCAAGGCGACGAUCCAUAGCUGGUCUGAGAGGAUGAUCAGCCACACUGGGACUGAGACACGGCCCAGACUCCUACGGGAGGCAGCAGUGGGGAAUAUUGGACAAUGGGCGAAAGCCUGAUCCAGCAAGGCCGCGUGAGUGAUGAAGGCCUUAGGGUUGUAAAGCUCUUUUACCCGGGAUGAUAAUGACAGUACCGGGAGAAAAAGCGCCGGCUAACUCCGUG
This 433-nucleotide ribosomal RNA is filed under the name uncultured bacterium. RNAcentral's name for it is "partial 16S ribosomal RNA". It matches the Rfam family "Bacterial small subunit ribosomal RNA", at positions 29 to 507 of the family's 1533-position model. The record is from RNAcentral.